Carassius auratus (goldfish) is the source of this 2163-nucleotide long non-coding RNA. The record is from Ensembl. NCBI's taxonomy places the organism in Eukaryota, Metazoa, Chordata, Actinopteri, Cypriniformes, Cyprinidae.
UUGGCUGAAUAUGACACAGUUUGUGCACCAGUCACUUCCUGUUGUUAUAUUUGAGUGCGGGCGACACACAUGAUCAUGUUAAAUGACAUGCGUGGUUUAGUUGCAUGUGCGCUCUGAUGUUUCCUUCUCUCAUUCCUCUCUCAGAAGAUGGAGGUGAAGAACUUGAGCCUUCUCCAGGUGCUAUGGAUGUUGAGGAGCGGACGCGGCAGAUGAAACUGAAGAUGAACAAGUACAAACAGGGAACAGGCUCAGACUCCAGACUGGAACAGGACUAUCACAAGGCAAGUACUGUGGUCUACUGCUCUACUGGUAGAAAAACUGUUCAAAACCAACUUUUUAAAUGAUUCAAAUGGUUCAUCACUCAUGAUAACUCAAGAUAAAUGAGUGUGUUUUAUAUUCGUAAUAUUUGUAUUUAUAAUAACAUUUUCCGUUUAAGUUGCACUCAUGCUACUUGAGGUCAUCACAGUGAAAUAAAACUCCUGGUUGCUUUAAUAAUAAUAAUAAUUGAAAAAUAAUAUUUUCAUUAUAAUCCUUUAUGUUUCACCUAUGUUAACUUCACUAUAUUACAAAUCUAAUCUAAUCUUGACAAACUAUAUAUCGUUGGAAAGGUCUAAGACUCCCAAAUAUAUAUGUUACCAAUGUUUUUUUGUAAAAAAUUAUGUAGGAAAGUAAUAGAUUAAUUUAUGACAAGAUUGCACCCUCAAAAAUCUAUUUUAUAACAGGAGUUUUGACCUUUGUUUAAAAAAAAGACUUUGUUGCUCUUUUCUCUCUCAAAUUUUAGAAAUCAUCAGAAAUUAUAUAUCACUUGAAAACAUAAAAUCUCAAAAUUCAUCCUUUAAAACCCAUUUUAAAAUCAGACAUUGCAUUAACCAUGUAAAUGGUAAUCAAUAUCAUGUUACAAAAUGUUUAUAGUCAUGAAUUAUAAAAAUGUAGGUUUGUAUCAUGCACAUUCAAGUCUAUCUUCUAAAAUGUGAGUGACAGUAAUGGGGUUUUAAAAAAAUGUAAAUGUUCACAUGGAAAAGGUAAUUCUUGUUUUGAUUUAUUAAUCUCAAAAUAUUUGCAUGCAUGCUUGUGCACGUUAUGUUUAAAGUUUUUAUUUUAUUUUAAUUAUUUUUUAUUUUAGUUAUUUUAUUUUAGUUUACGAGUUCUUCUUUCACGCACUUUAAAUGCAUCGGUUUAGUUACAAUAGCUACUUUUUGCUUGUAGCUUUAGUUUUGCUAACUAAGUUAAACUAGAUCCAAGUAGUUUAACUAGAUCCAAGAGCACUUUUUAGCCAUUCAGAUUGCUUAUUUGAUCUGAAGUCAACAUAGAUAAAACAUGUUGUGUGUUUGGUGACCCACUUCCCGCAGUUGGGAGAUUUUUAUAGACCUAUAUAGUCUUCCAGGUUUAGGGACUCUGUUCAGGAUAUACAUUAGUGUUUGUGUUCACUGGACAUUGUGCUGAGAUUAAGUGCCAUAUACAGUCAUAUCGCCUUCCCUUUGUAUCCUUUUAAGCGUGUGGUAUGAAAAGCAUUGUACAGGCACUCGAGUUGUGCAGAAUUCUAUUUAAAGCAGGUAAAGACUCUGUUUGUUUGGUCUGUCUAAUAGAGGCGCCAUUUAGGACGUAAUGUUUAUAAUCAGCAUAGCAAGCCAUGAGCAACUUAUAAAUAAAUGUUACAUAAGAUCCCACAGUGCUGUACCUCUCCAUGUCUAUCCAAGAGAGAAUAGACAGGAACCCCUUAGUGUAAAUGCAGUGGCUUUCAUUUUAAUGAUGCUUGUUGUCUUUUUUUAGGCUUCUUUAAAAAAAAACAUAUAUAAUAUAUGUAUUUUUGCUUUUAUCCAAAACAAGCAACUUUGCAUUCAGGAUAAACACGUUAUCAGUUCAUGCAUUCCUUGGAAAUCAAACCCAUAUUGUACAGUUUGAGUUUAAGUAAUUCUCAUUAAUAGAAUUGUAUUAUUAUUAUUAUUAGUCAUGUAUUAUUUUGUCUAUUUAUUUAUAUUAAUUAUUUUUAUAUUUAUUUGUUGUUGUUAUUUGAUGGUUGAUAUGUACAUCAAUUUUUAUUCUUUUUGAAUUUAUUAUUUAUAUUUGAAUAGUUGUCAUUUCUGCUGUUGUUAUUGUUUUUCAUUAUUAUCAUUUGUUAUUUUUAAUUCAUUGUAGAUAUUUUAGAUUGAGCUCUUAGUUUGU